CAACACUCUCACCUGCCAGCACGACAAGCUCAGGCGUCAGUGAAGAAUCCACCACCUCCCACAGCCGACCAGGCUCAACGCACACAACAGCAUUCCCUGGCAGUACCACCAUGCCAGGCGUCAGUCAGGAAUCUACAGCUUCCCACAGCAGCCCAGGCUCCACAGACACAACACUGUCCCCUGGCAGUACCACAGCAUCAUCCCUUGGUCCAGAAUCUACUACCUUCCACAGCGGCCCAGGCUCCACUGAAACAACACUCUUACCUGACAACACCACAGCCUCAGGCCUCCUUGAAGCAUCUACGCCCGUCCACAGCAGCACUGGAUCGCCACACACAACACUGUCCCCUGCCGGCUCUACAACCCGUCAGGGAGAAUCUACCACCUUCCAGAGCUGGCCUAACUCGAAGGACACUACCCCUGCACCUCCUACUACCACAUCAGCCUUUGUUGAGCUAUCUACAACCUCCCACGGCAGCCCGAGCUCAACUCCAACAACCCACUUUUCUGCCAGCUCCACAACCUUGGGCCGUAGUGAGGAAUCGACAACAGUCCACAGCAGCCCAGUUGCAACUGCAACAACACCCUCGCCUGCCCGCUCCACAACCUCAGGCCUCGUUGAAGAAUCUACGACCUACCACAGCAGCCCGGGCUCAACUCAAACAAUGCACUUCCCUGAAAGCGACACAACUUCAGGCCGUGGUGAAGAAUCAACAACUUCCCACAGCAGCACAACACACACAAUAUCUUCAGCUCCUAGCACCACAUCUGCCCUUGUUGAAGAACCUACCAGCUACCACAGCAGCCCGGGCUCAACUGCAACAACACACUUCCCUGACAGCUCCACAACCUCAGGCCGUAGUGAGGAAUCAACAGCAUCCCACAGCAGCCAAGACGCAACGGGAACAAUAGUCCUACCUGCCCGCUCCACAACCUCAGUUCUUCUUGGAGAAUCUACGACCUCACCCAUCAGUUCAGGCUCAAUGGAAACGACAGCGUUACCCGGCAGUACCACAACGCCAGGCCUCAGUGAGAAAUCUACCACUUUCCACAGUAGCCCCAGAUCACCAGCCACAACACUCUCACCUGCCAGCACGACAAGCUCAGGCGUCAGUGAAGAAUCCACCACCUCCCACAGCCGACCAGGCUCAACGCACACAACAGCAUUCCCUGACAGCACCACCACGCCAGGCCUCAGUCGGCAUUCUACAACUUCCCACAGCAGCCCAGGCUCAACGGAUACAACACUGUUACCUGCCAGCACCACCACCUCAGGCUCCAGUCAGGAAUCAACAACUUCCCACAGCAGCUCAGGUUCAACUGACACAGCACUGUCCCCUGGCAGUACCACAGCCUUAUCCUUUGGUCAAGAAUCUACAACCUUCCACAGCAGCCCAGGCUCCACUCACACAACACUCUUCCCUGACAGCACCACAAGCUCAGGCAUCGUUGAAGCAUCUACACGCGUCCACA
This 1473-nucleotide long non-coding RNA is filed under the name Homo sapiens (human). RNAcentral describes it as "long non-coding RNA NONHSAT122433.2". Lineage: Eukaryota; Metazoa; Chordata; Mammalia; Primates; Hominidae. The record is from RNAcentral.